GGCGGUGUAGCUCAGUGGCAGAGCAGUCGGCUCAUACCCGAUAUGUCUGGGGUUCGAAUCCCUACACCGCCA
This 72-nucleotide transfer RNA is filed under the name bacterium. Its description in RNAcentral is "tRNA-Met". It matches the Rfam family "tRNA". Rfam says of the family: Transfer RNA (tRNA) molecules are approximately 80 nucleotides in length. Their secondary structure includes four short double-helical elements and three loops (D, anti-codon, and T loops). Further hydrogen bonds mediate the characteristic L-shaped molecular structure. tRNAs have two regions of fundamental functional importance: the anti-codon, which is responsible for specific mRNA codon recognition, and the 3' end, to which the tRNAs corresponding amino acid is attached (by aminoacyl-tRNA synthetases). tRNAs cope with the degeneracy of the genetic code in two manners: having more than one tRNA (with a specific anti-codon) for a particular amino acid; and 'wobble' base-pairing, i.e. permitting non-standard base-pairing at the 3rd anti-codon position. The record is from RNAcentral. RNAcentral also lists the same sequence under 2 other names.